AGAGUUUGAUCAUGGCUCAGGAUGAACGCUAGCGGGAGGCUUAACACAUGCAAGUCGAGGGGCAACACGAGGUAGCAAUACUUUGGUGGCGACCGGCGCACGGGUGAGUAACGCGUAUGUAACCUACCCUGUACAGGGGGAUAGCCCGGAGAAAUUCGGAUUAAUACCCCAUAAAGAUAUCGAGAGGCAUCUUUUGGUAUUUAAAGUUUCGACGGUACGGGAUGGGCAUGCGUAACAUUAGCUAGUUGGUAAGGUAACGGCUUACCAAGGCGACGAUGUUUAGGGGUCCUGAGAGGGUGAUCCCCCACACUGGUACUGAGACACGGACCAGACUCCUACGGGAGGCAGCAGUGAGGAAUAUUGGUCAAUGGGCGUAAGCCUGAACCAGCCAUCCCGCGUGCAGGAAGACGGCGCUAUGCGUUGUAAACUGCUUUUCCAGGGAAAGAAAACCCCCGACGUGUCGGGGCUUGCCGGUACCCUGGGAAUAAGCAUCGGCUAACUCCGUGCCAGCAGCCGCGGUAAUACGGAGGAUGCGAGCGUUAUCCGGAUUUAUUGGGUUUAAAGGGUGCGUAGGCGGAUUAAUAAGUCAGUGGUGAAAACCUUCAGCUUAACUGGAGACUUGCCAUUGAUACUGUUAGUCUUGAGUACGGUCAAGGUAGGCGGAAUGUGUAAUGUAGCGGUGAAAUGCUUAGAUAUUACACAGAACACCGAUUGCGAAGGC
RNAcentral lists this ribosomal RNA (721 nucleotides) under uncultured bacterium. Its description in RNAcentral is "bacterial SSU rRNA". It matches the Rfam family "Bacterial small subunit ribosomal RNA", at positions 8 to 722 of the family's 1533-position model. The record is from RNAcentral.